GUUGGAGCCUGGGCCCAAGGCACCACCAGGCCCGCGUGUCAGCUCCAUCUGCCACCUCCCGCGCACCCCCCCCCCCAUGGUCAGGCCUCUGGUAUAGGAGCCGGAGCCCGGGCCCAAGGCACCACCAGGCCCACGUGUCACCUCCAUCUGACACGCGGCCUGCUUUAUCUGCCGCCUCCCGCGCACCCCCCGACCGUGGACAGCGGGCCAGGGGUGCCAGAAGACCUGCUGAGCAUCCUGGGGGGUCUGGGAGGCCUUCCCAGCCCCCACGUGGUCGGCGGGUCCAGAGCCGGGCCGGUAGUGGUGAGUGGGC
This is a non-coding RNA of Pelobates cultripes (western spadefoot toad), 313 nucleotides long. Lineage: Eukaryota; Metazoa; Chordata; Amphibia; Anura; Pelobatidae. The record is from the annotation of a GenBank genome assembly.